Molecule: long non-coding RNA, 1253 nt
Filed under: Canis lupus dingo (dingo)
Lineage: Eukaryota; Metazoa; Chordata; Mammalia; Carnivora; Canidae
Description: lncRNA (ENSCAFG00020005841.1)
Source: RNAcentral
UACGGCCACACUGUAACACAUCACCUUAUUCCAUGCUUUCCAUGGCACUCUCUUGCUGACUUGUUCAUUGUCCUAUUUCCACCGCACCCAUUCCCCACCACUGUGUUCUCCAGAAUCUAUAAGACUACCUGGCACUUGGUGAAUGCUCAGUAAAUAUUCAUUCAAUAAAAGAUGAAUAAAUAGAAGGUCAAGAGCUAAAAGGAAACUCUACAGGAGGAGGAGGAGACAAGCAGUCUGCUCACUUUUUUUGCCAAAAUAGAUUUUUCUCCACCAAGAAUCCCCCAGUUAAAAAUCUGGGUCCAUUUGCAAUAUUUUAUUUUGCAUUCAGAGGCCCGAAUACUUGAUCUGUGGUUCUUCUUUACAGCCUCGAGAGUCACGCCAAAAAAAUUAAAAAUCCACCCAUCCUGUUGAACUACCAGAAAGAUGAUUUUCAUGCUUUCAAACUCAAUAUUUUUACUGGAAUACAGAGAUGUGAUUCUGGAAAGAAAAAAAAAAAAAGGAACAAGUGUCCACCGUGGUAAGUCAUUAAAGUUGAACAGGGUGAUAAGGCCAGACAGCAAACUGUUCCCUCAGAACUGAGCCAACAGAGCACGUCUCGUGAUAAUAUUAUUUAAAUCAACAGCUUCCAUGACCUGUGGAAUUUAUUGAUGAAAUCAGAAAUGCUCCCUGUUCCAGACUUUCUGAAUCUUCUUUUAGAAUUUCACAUGGCAGGUCGGCACUGAAAUAUUUCGGAUUCCAAAAUAUUUUUUUUUUCAAAAAGCAAGCUCAAAAUAUCAACCUGUCAGACACUGUCUAAAGUUAUUAGCCUGUGUGGUGGAUGCGUCGCGGAGGCUGGUUGGAAAGUUGGCCAGGUGUCUUUCCCCCUUCGCUUUCUUUUCUUUACCGAGUGUGUUUUCCUAGGACUGUGGUUCACAUAUUUAUAAUUAGCGCAGAAAAACAGAGAAGGAGAUGAUCAUGUUCUUUCCCCAUUCCUGGCAAUGCUCUCACCUCUAGCUUAACACUGUAACAUCUUGAGGGCCUGGAGAGAAGGUGGAAGAAGGAGGAGAGAAGGGAGGAGGAAGAAGCGGAGGAGGAGCAGGAGGAAAAGAAGGAGUUCCCUGCAAAUUGUAGUUCCAGUUCCAGGCCCAGAAAACUGUCGAACCUGAAAUUGCCUUGCCCCCUUGUAAUUCUGAUAUGCUGGAAUCAGGUCAAACCGAGGAAUGUUGUGUCUUAAAAUUAAUUCGAAUAAAUUAAUUCCUUAAUGAAACCUACCA